GCGUGAUUGAUGAAGGCCUUAGGGUUGUAAAGAUCUUUCAACAGUGAAGAUAAUGACGGUAACUGUAGAAGAAGCCCCGGCUAACUCCGUGCCAGCAGCCGCGGUAAUACGGAGGGGGCUAGCGUUGUUCGGAAUUACUGGGCGUAAAGCGCGCGUAGGCGGAUUAUUAAGUCAGAGGUGAAAUCCCGGAGCUCAACUCCGGAACUGCCUUUGAUACUGGUAAUCUAGAGGUCGAGAGAGGUGAGUGGAAUUCCGAGUGUAGAGGUGAAAUUCGU
Molecule: ribosomal RNA, 275 nt
Filed under: uncultured bacterium
Lineage: Bacteria
Description: partial 16S ribosomal RNA
Rfam family: Bacterial small subunit ribosomal RNA
Source: RNAcentral